RNAcentral lists this long non-coding RNA (1179 nucleotides) under Monodelphis domestica (gray short-tailed opossum). RNAcentral describes it as "lncRNA (ENSMODG00000035254.2)". The record is from RNAcentral. Lineage: Eukaryota; Metazoa; Chordata; Mammalia; Didelphimorphia; Didelphidae.
CAGCGUGGGAAGUCCUCACCAGAAACAGGAAGGCGGCUUCCUUCCCCGGACUAGGCAGGCUCCUCUCCCCAACCCUGCCAGGUGGGGGCCCGGCGCUCAGGCUGUUGCUCUAGUUUUCUGAUUGGGACAGACUUCGGGCCUAGUCUGUAAGGCCCGCCCCCUGGGAGCGGGACGGAGGGGAGGAGGGGCUCUCUGUGAGGAAACUUCCUGUUGGCUUCCGUGCCCACUCCAAGUCCUGGGGACAGAGCCCGGGGCGGGGCGGACCCCCGAGGGAGGAGGGCAGGAGAAACUCCAGGCUUUGGAAGGAAGAGGGCGGAAAUAUGGAGGCUUAGAGCCCAGGCCCGGAGGAGCUAGAAGUCACUGGUGCGUGGAGGAAGCGGAAAUGUUACAUGGAGCGGAGCCUUCUGGGAAAUGUAGUCUCCCGCCUUCCGGCCCAGCCAGGCUUGUGUCUCCCAGCCUCGGGCUUCCCUGGUCAUUCCUGGCAGCCCCAUCCCAGAGCCCUCCUGGUUCUCAGCCUUCCCCAGCUCCCUCCCUCCUAGACCAGGCAGGAGGGUGAGGGUUGGGCAGGGAGGCCUCAGGGAGGCCCUUUGGCGAGGAGUCCCCAGAGGAGGCAGCAGAAGGCACAAGGAAAGCCCAGACUGAAGGCAGACGUGUGAGCAGGACAAGCGCAGCAGCCACGUUCAGGCCAUCUCAGAGAGCAGAUUCCGGCCUGGCAGGAGAAGAGACAGGAAGGAUCUGCUGCUCAUCCCGAGAAGGAGACGGGAAGCAGCACAGGAACAAGGGAGGAGAUUGGGGAAGGACAGAAGCCCUCCUGGGAAAGAGCCAUCCAGCAGUAUGCAGGUGCCCCGAGGGCCGGAGAGAGCAGCAGGGAAGGGGAGCAGCCAGAGAAAUGGAGUUUGCUAUCAGCAAGGCUCCUGCUCAGGCUCAGGCCAAGAUGGAGGCAGAGAGAAGCCUUGAAUGGCCUCAGAUGGCCCUGUAGGAGAAACUGAGUCAAGAGGGCCUUCCUUGGCCUUCCCCACUGCUACCAGGGAUGGCAGCAGCUCCAGGAACCAGCUAUUGGGAGCUCAUCCAUCCUGAUGGGACCGUGGACUCUUCAGAAGGGAUUUGGCAUUCAGUCCUGAAAGGGAGAUCCAAGAAGUGUUUCAGAAUAAAUCCUCAGGGGGAUGGUGGGGUGGCUCA